This 449-nucleotide ribosomal RNA is filed under the name uncultured soil bacterium. RNAcentral's name for it is "bacterial SSU rRNA". It matches the Rfam family "Bacterial small subunit ribosomal RNA", at positions 26 to 461 of the family's 1533-position model. The record is from RNAcentral.
AGAUUGAACGCUGGCGGCAGGCCUAACACAUGCAAGUCGAGCGGUAGAGAGGUGCUUGCAUCUCUUGAGAGCGGCGGACGGGUGAGUAAUGCCUAGGAAUCUGCCUAGUGGUGGGGAUAACGUUCGGAAACGGACGCUAAUACCGCAUACGUCCUACGGGAGAAAGCGGGGGACCUUCGGGCCUCGCGCCAUUAGAUGAGCCUAGGUCGGAUUAGCUAGUUGGCGGGUAAGAGCCCACCAAGGCGACGAUCGGUAGCUGGUCUGAGAGGAUGAUCAGCCACACGUGGGACUGAGACACGGCCCAGACUCCGUACGGGAGCAGCAGGUAGGGAAUAUUGGAACAAGUGGGACGAAAAGCCUAGAUCCGAGCAAUCGCCGCGUGAGUGAAGUGAAGGUCCUUAGGGUUAGUAAAGCUUACGUUUUUAACCCGAGAUGAAUAAUGAACAGUA